AUUGAACGCUGGCGGCAUGCUUUACACAUGCAAGUCGAACGGCAGCGCGGGCUUCGGCCUGGCGGCGAGUGGCGAACGGGUGAGUAAUGCAUCGGAACGUGCCCAGUAGUGGGGGAUAGCCCGGCGAAAGCCGGAUUAAUACCGCAUACGACCUGAGGGUGAAAGCGGGGGACCGAAAGGCCUCGCGCUAUUGGAGCGGCCGAUGUCGGAUUAGCUAGUUGGUGGGGUUAAGGCUUACCAAGGCGACGAUCCGUAGCUGGUCUGAGAGGACGACCAGCCACACUGGGACUGAGACACGGCCCAGACUCCUACGGGAGGCAGCAGUGGGGAAUUUUGGACAAUGGGGGCAACCCUGAUCCAGCCAUGCCGCGUGCGGGAAGAAGGCCUUCGGGUUGUAAACCGCUUUUGUUCGGGAAGAAAUCCUCUGGGCUAAUACCCCGGGGGGAUGACGGUACCGGAAGAAUAAGCACCGGCUAACUACGUG
Molecule: ribosomal RNA, 484 nt
Filed under: uncultured bacterium
Lineage: Bacteria
Description: partial 16S ribosomal RNA
Rfam family: Bacterial small subunit ribosomal RNA
Source: RNAcentral